RNAcentral lists this long non-coding RNA (497 nucleotides) under Mytilus galloprovincialis (Mediterranean mussel). Lineage: Eukaryota; Metazoa; Mollusca; Bivalvia; Mytilida; Mytilidae. The record is from RNAcentral.
UGGGGUUUGUAUUGCUUGAUCUUUAGUUUUUUUAUGUAAUACUUUGAAGAUUGUUGUUUGAAUUGUUUUUGUUCUUCAUUUUUUGCCAUGGCGUUGUCAGUUUCUCUUCAACAUACAUUGUAAAAGAGUUGUGAAUAUAUCCUGUGAUAUCUUACAUCUCUUUUUUUGUUCCCUGGAAUUUUGUAUAUUGAAAUUCUUCUCACUGUAAUGAUAUUGAUUUUUUCCUAUUCUCCUUCUUACAAAACUACACACCUGUAUCUUUAUGUACAGUUUAUAGACAACAUAGGUCACAUGACAUAGGUCACAUGACACUGACUGACUCUGAGAAUACUACACACCUGUAUCUUUAUGUACAGUUUAUUGACAACAUAGGUCACAUGACACUGACUGACUAUGAUAAUACUACACGCCUGUAUCUUUCUGUACAGUUUAUUGACAACAUAGGUCAUAUGACACUGACUGACUAUGAGAAUACUACACGCCUGUAUCUUUCUGUA